GAUGAAGACGCAGCGAAACGCGAUAUGUAAUGUGAAUUGCAGAAUUCAGUGAAUCAUCGAAUCUUUGAACGCACAUGGCGCCUUCCAGUAUCCUGGGAGGCAUGCCUGUCCGAGCGUCGUUUCAACCCUCGAGCCCCCGUGGCCCGGCGUUGGGGAUCUGCCCAGGCAGUCCCCGAAAACCAGUGGCGGACCCGUUACAGGCCCUUCCCUUGCGUAGUAGCAUUCGCCUCGCAUCGGGAGCCGGCGGGCUUCCAGCCUCUAAACCCCCAUCAAGUCCGCCCCGGCGGCACCAAGGUUGACCUCGGAUCAGGUAGGAAUACCCGCUGAACUUAAGCAUAUCAAUAAGCGGAGGA
RNAcentral lists this unclassified non-coding RNA (353 nucleotides) under soil metagenome. RNAcentral describes it as "partial contains 5.8S ribosomal RNA, internal transcribed spacer 2, and large subunit ribosomal RNA". The stretch from base 1 to 119 matches the Rfam family "5.8S ribosomal RNA", at positions 35 to 154 of the family's 154-position model. The record is from RNAcentral.